AUGGAAGAAGAACAGGAAGAGAAGUCAACAGAUGAUGAAAUAUGGCUGCAAUGGCUCCAUGACUUGUUGGUAGCGGCAGACAGAUAUGACAUCCAGUGGCUCAAGUGCAUAUGUGAGAAACAGAUGUCUAAGAAAAUAGGUGUGAGGUCGGUGAUGUCCACUCUUGCUCUAGCCGAGCAGCACCACUGCCAAGGUUUGAAGGAGGCAUGCUUCAAGUUUAUCCAAGUCGAGUCCUCCUCAUGUUUGCAAAAAAUAAUGGUAUCUAAUGGUUGGGAUCACGUUUGUAGGACCUAUCCCUUAGUUUUGAAGGAGCUCUUUGCCAUGCUUGCUUCAAACCACCGGAAGUAA
RNAcentral lists this ribosomal RNA (348 nucleotides) under Triticum aestivum (bread wheat). RNAcentral's name for it is "partial small subunit ribosomal RNA". Lineage: Eukaryota; Viridiplantae; Streptophyta; Magnoliopsida; Poales; Poaceae. The record is from RNAcentral.